AGUGGGAAUGCAUUCUAUGUGUUGUUUUGAAGAAAAGAUUUUUUCCAAAAUGUAGAGCAUGACAUAUCCUUUUCUAAUCCCACAGGUAAAAUCCAGCCUGUAGGAAUGCAGCUGCCCGACCUCUUAUUCACGGAACCACCUACCCAAGUCUUCAUUCAGCCAAGACCAAGGGGAAAAAAUUAACUCAUGGAGAGGUUCACAGUUUAUUACAGCUGUAUGAACUCCUCAUAUUGACCGAGUAUGUACAAAUAUGCAUGUAGACAUAUAUUAUCCUUCAGCUGAUUCGAAUAACUUCGGCUCACGAAUAAGUAUCUCAGCAGCUCUCGGUAAGUAAUAAAAACAGAGGAAGUUUCUUAUUACA
RNAcentral lists this long non-coding RNA (361 nucleotides) under Calidris pugnax (ruff). RNAcentral describes it as "lncRNA (ENSCPUG00000004996.1)". The record is from RNAcentral. Lineage: Eukaryota; Metazoa; Chordata; Aves; Charadriiformes; Scolopacidae.